CCCUUAGAUGCUCUGGGCCGCACGCGCGCUACACUGGUCGAUGCAACGAGUUUCUUUCCUUGGCCGACAGGCCUGGGCAAUCUUUGAACAUCGAUCGUGAUCGGGAUAGAUUCUUGUAAUUUUUGAUCUUAAACGAGGAAUUCCUAGUAAACGCAAGUCAUCAGCUUGCAUUGAUUACGUCCCUGCCCUUUGUACACACCGCCCGUCGCACCUACCGAUUGAAUGGUCCGGUGAAAUCUCCGGACUGGCGUGAGUCGAAGCAAUCUGACAAACACCGGAAAGUUGAUUAAACCUUACCAUUUAGAGGAAGGUGAAGUCGUAACA
Molecule: ribosomal RNA, 324 nt
Filed under: uncultured eukaryote
Lineage: Eukaryota
Description: partial 18S ribosomal RNA
Rfam family: Eukaryotic small subunit ribosomal RNA
Source: RNAcentral